GCGAAAGUAAAUAAUUAUAUUACACAAGUUAGGGAAGCAUUCAUUUUUCAUCAUGAAGUCAAUAUCUGAGCUGUGUCAGAAAAAAUCAUAGGAAUUGAUUAUAUUCUUGAAACAUAGAACUCUACAUUAUCCACGGCAAAUUCCACAAUUUAAGAUGAAUCCAUUUGGAAGACUUUCUAGUGUGGAUCAAAUGGAACAGUGGGCCUUUUUUCAACUGCAACAAUGCAAAUGUAACGGGGAACAAAGUCUGCGACAUGGGGAUUACGCCAGCGCUUUUGCGAUGUAUAAUACAGCAGUGGAAUAUUGCAAUAUGUGCGGUCCUUUUCUGAACGUUCCGGAGGAACUUUCAAAUAUCCUCAGCAAUCGUUCAUUGGUUUUAAGUAAAAUGGGGGACUUCGGAUUGGCUUUGACGGAUGCCCAACAAUGCAUUGGAUUAAACCCUCAUGGGGCUAGGGGGUAUUUGCG
Molecule: long non-coding RNA, 465 nt
Organism: Saccostrea cuccullata (small rock oyster)
Lineage: Eukaryota; Metazoa; Mollusca; Bivalvia; Ostreida; Ostreidae
Exons: 4
Source: RefSeq, a predicted model, not a curated record